Molecule: ribosomal RNA, 492 nt
Filed under: uncultured bacterium
Lineage: Bacteria
Description: partial 16S ribosomal RNA
Rfam family: Bacterial small subunit ribosomal RNA
Source: RNAcentral
AUUGAACGCUGGCGGCAUGCUUUACACAUGCAAGUCGAACGGUAACAGGCCUUCGGGUGCUGGCGAGUGGCGAACAGGUGAGUAAUGCAUCGGAACGUACCCAGAGGUGGGGGAUAACGCAGCGAAAGCUGUGCUAAUACCGCAUGUGAUCUGAGGAUGAAAGCGGGGGACCGAGCAGCAAUGUUUGGCCUCGCGCCUUUGGAGCGGCCGAUGUCGGAUUAGCUAGUUGGUGGGGUAAAGGCCUACCAAGGCGACGAUCCGUAGCUGGUCUGAGAGGACGACCAGCCACACUGGGACUGAGACACGGCCCAGACUCCUACGGGAGGCAGCAGUGGGGAAUUUUGGACAAUGGGCGCAAGCCUGAUCCAGCAAUGCCGCGUGCGGGAAGAAGGCCUUCGGGUUGUAAACCGCUUUUGGCAGGAACGAAACGGUGUCCGCUAAUACCGGGCGCUAAUGACGGUACCUGCAGAAUAAGCACCGGCUAACUACGUG